This 347-nucleotide long non-coding RNA is filed under the name Zostera marina. RNAcentral describes it as "long non-coding RNA (ZMAR_LNC001076)". Lineage: Eukaryota; Viridiplantae; Streptophyta; Magnoliopsida; Alismatales; Zosteraceae. The record is from RNAcentral.
AGUUCCUGCCAUCUCGGAGUCGUCGAUUCGAGUCAAAUUGAACUGGGGAAUCGGCGACAGAAGGAUCUAGGGUUUGGUAGGCGAUUCGAAAUUGGGGAAAAGUGAAGUGAGAAGUAUGAAGCGCUCACCACUAUUUAUAGUCCCUGGGAAAAUUGCAAAAACCCCCUAGAGAAUCCGAAAAUUGCAAGGGAAGGAAUCGGAAAUCGAUCUCCAAAUCCCUGAAAUCACGCCUGAGUCGACGAUUCCCAAGCUGAAUCGUCGAUUCCGGUCACUAUUUUGCAAAAUUUGAGAGAUAUAUUUCCUUAAUUGGAAAAUUUGCAUAUAUCCUCAAAAUAUCUCUAAGGAUC